This 397-nucleotide ribosomal RNA is filed under the name uncultured Neocallimastigomycetes. Its description in RNAcentral is "eukaryotic LSU rRNA". It matches the Rfam family "Eukaryotic large subunit ribosomal RNA", at positions 127 to 521 of the family's 3401-position model. Lineage: Eukaryota; Fungi; Neocallimastigomycota; Neocallimastigomycetes. The record is from RNAcentral.
GUUCUACCUUGACGAAUUGUAGUUUAAAGAAGUGUUUUCUGUUAGAGGAGUGGCAAAAGUUCUUUGGAAUAGGACAUCAUAGAGGGUGAGAAUCCCGUAUUUGGUCAUUCUUUCUAGCUGUGUGAUACACUUUCAAAGAGUCGGAUUGUUUGGGAAUGCAGUCCAAAAUGGGUGGUAAAUUUCAUCUAAAGCUAAAUAUUGGCGAGAGACCGAUAGCGAACAAGUACCGUGAGGGAAAGAUGAAAAGAACUUUGAAAAGAGAGUUAAACAGUACGUGAAAUUGUCAAAAGGGAAGCGUUUGACACCAGUGUUGUUUUUCCGAAAAUCAAUUGUGCUUGGCUGGAUUUUGUAGGAGUUUGACCUUAUCAGCUACUUCUGCUUUUUUCCUGUCCGGUGC